Molecule: non-coding RNA, 2193 nt
Organism: Oryzias latipes (Japanese medaka)
Lineage: Eukaryota; Metazoa; Chordata; Actinopteri; Beloniformes; Adrianichthyidae
Source: RefSeq, a predicted model, not a curated record
UUUAACAGUGGUGAAUUCGCUAAUAAAAGGUACUAGAUGUGGAUAUUAACCCAGAUAACCCUUAGAGUAAGCUGUUGUCUGGUUAGUCUCUUGCAUGACAGCUCUGCCCCCAUAUUUGUAUGUAGGGUGAAUAGAACAUGUGACUGAAGCGCUUCGGACCUUAAAUAAGGUAGAAAAGCACUAUACAAGUAUAAACCAUUUAUCAUAAGCCAUGAAUUUGAACUUCAUAUGAGUUUACAAAUUAUGACCUUGACAUGCAGACAAAUGAUGAUUGUAUAUCAAAGCCAAACAAAGAUUAUCCAUUUCAGUUCCUAUUUGGAUAUGAUUACUGCAUUGUCCCUCCUUAACCAAAACAUAGUACAUCCAAGUUCUUUCCCAUUAAGCACUUUUUUUGAUUUUAGGAUUAGUUUCCACAUGUCCAUGUUUUCUUUCUGUCUGCCUGAGGUUCACCUGCAUUGCAUUAAACAUUAAUGCAUCGCUGAAAUUAAAUAAUGUGAUUUUAGAGAUUUAGAGGGAUUUGUUUUGCCAAGAGGCAGUUGCUCCUCAUUUCCAUUCUCCUCUCACUCUGCAGGUGGUUUCAGAGAGCGCUCUGCUUUUUUUGCUGUGACUGACAGCUCAGAGGAACCUUCCGAUGACUCCUCUGCCUCUGUUAUGUUUCACCUCUCUCCAUCUUCUCUGCUUUAUUUUUGCUUUGAUGUGCUUUGUCUUUCUAUUAUACACGUAUGCCUUUGUCUAGCCUCCCCAGGGUACUAUGUGUCCCCCAGCUUGGAAAGUGAAGGAGCACUCCAAAAAAAGGUGGCUGGAUUAUCUUUCUCUUUAUUCUAUCACCUCCUCCAGGGUUCUUACAAAAACACACAGCUGGAGCCCCUGCUGAUUGACAGCUGCUGCAGUUCAUCAUGUCAACUUCUCAUGAGCAAUCAUUACUCAUAACCAUCUCUCUCAAGAGACAAACACGGGCAGCAUAAGCCCAGUCCCUUCUCAAAAAAAUCUCAGGGGGUUCAUCGACCAAAGGAUCAUGUUUUAAGUUUACUCAGUUAGGUUCUGUUGUGUUUUUUUAUAGCAAUAACUACUCAGUAGCUAAGGGUCAUAAAAUUGAAGCAAGAAAAAAAGAUCUACUAAAUUAGGUUCAAUUAAAUUAGAAUUGUAUUCUAUUUAAAUUCACUCUAUCCAACCCAUCUACCGUUAACCUAAUUCCAUUCAAAGAUGUUCCUUUUUACAGAGAUUUUUUGCAGAACCAGGAAGAGAACUUUGCAGAACAAAACACUGUCCAUAGCCCAGCUUUACUCUAAAAUGCAAUUACUAACUGUGGGAUAGAAAUCGGUUUAUAUUAUAUAUUAUCAAUACACAACCUGAGGUGCUGCUGUGGCCUGGAAUGGUUUCCUGUUCUGAAGAUUUGUAGAAGACCCAUGGUAAAGAUUCUCUUCCAUUGCAGCAGGAGAUUCUUACUGCAGGAUAGUUGCUUACUCGCCUUUGCUCAGUCAGCUUCUAAGACUCACUCCAAGAAAUUACUCUUUUUAACAUGCUUGUCUAGCUUUUUUCUCAUGAUGGAGAACAUAUAUAAAAAAAUUUAAGAUUAAAACAGUGUUUCUGAGUGUUUAUUUAUUCAAAUCGUUAUAAAUCAGAAGGAGAUAAAAAAAAUGGUGUUUGAAAAAGUAGCAGGUACUUCAGUUGACGGGCCACAAGCUCGCUGAUUAGAAGAUUUCCGUUGAUCGCGUAAGGAGUUGCGUUGUGUCAAAGAGAACUGUAGGUUUUGAUGGAGACAUCUCUGGUGUUAAAUGUUUAAAGCUUAAAAUGGGGGGGGAAACUGUCAUGGUGCCUCUGUCAGUCUGUCCUCCCCUCCCCACUCUGCUCUGCUUCCCUGAUUGGAUCCAGCUGUGGACGCUCACCUCAUCAUCCACCUGCCUUCAUAAGGAGAUCCAGUCCCAGCAUUCAUCGGCAGUUCGUUGCCUCUUAUGGACCAAUCACCAAGAGCUGUCCUCCUGGGUCUUUCCAUGUAUGAGCAGUCCAUUCCUCAUCCGCAAUCCUAGCCUCAAUCCACGCCAUGACUCCAGCCCAAGUCAAGAUUCCCAAGCCACGCCACAACUUCAAGCCAGUACUCCCGGUCGCCACACCAGUCUCAUCUCGCCAGCAUACAAUCAUCAACUUACUCACCCUCGGAUUCACGUCCAGGAAAAUAAAUCCAUUUAACUUCCA